CUCCUGCACACCCCUUACAGGGGAACGAUCCCACAACCCGGGCUUGUGCCCUUGGCUGGAAUCAAACCCAGGACCCUUCAGUCCGCAGGCUGACACUCUGUCUACUGAGCCGAACCGGCUAGGGCAACUUCGUUUAUUUUUGAUGAUUCUACACCUCCCCAUGAACCUCAAAUAAGGAGGAAACUUAAUAGUGACUUCAAGACUCAAAUCUCAGAGUGAAUUUCCUUGCAUCUAGCAAGAAUGAGCAGUCAGAUUUAUCAUCCACGUUAAAAUGUAGAGUGAGGCCUCUGACUAGCUGAUUGUGUAUUUUGCUGGAAUCAGUAUUUUUUGAAUGUUUACAAAAGAUUGGGCUGCAUGUUCAGGUUGCGGCUAGAGGGAGCUUGGGCAGAUUUUCAAUUAUGCUUUCAAGCUGUAACCAAAGGGUGUUUCUAAAUCCAAAAAUUAGAAUUUUAACAGAGCCCUCUUUAAAACUGUCAUGUAAUGCUUGUUGUAGGCCAACAGAGGGGCUGUGUACUUUCUCUAAAAACAAACUCCAAAUAAUUCGUAAUAUGCAGUAAUGAGCAAAAUUAAAAUAAGAGCUGUUGGAAUUUAGCUUUCAAAAGUGGUAAGUUGGAUAGGUUAACAAGACAUACUGUUACAUGAUGAGUUUGUUUUCUGCUUUAUAAUUAGCCAAAGUUCAAAUUAUCACAUUUCAGAAUUUUUUUAGCCAGCCUAUGGGUAGGCCUCAUCCCCUUUGACCUAAAUGUCUUACAAGUUACUUGUUAGCACACCAAUUGUAUCGCUAAUCACCAUCCAUUGUUGUGGGAUGUGCUGCAGCAUUUCCAGAGAACCUUACCUGUAACUUUGCAAAAUGAAUGUACUUAAGACAUUCUCAGUUUUUGGCAGACCGACUGUAAGUCCUCUUUGGACUUACCAGAUAUCUCAGAUAUCUUAGAGCAACAGUGGGAAUGUAAAACAUAACCUAAUUCCCUUUCCUAUAGAGAUUCUAUUUUAUUUAAAAUCUAUUUUUACACUAGUUAGAAUCCUGCUUUUUUGGCCAAGUACUUGUGUUGCAUGUCUGACCUUGCAGAAGCUGGGGUGGAUUGUAGCAUACUAAUGAAGAGAAUUACAAGUGCUUUACAAAGCUUGCACACUCCUCAUUUCUCUCUGAUCACCUCUAUCAAGCAGCUCUACCACCAGCUGGGAAAAUGCAGAUUUUCUGCAUAGGUGGGAUAAAUGUUCUGGAAGCCUGUUCCCAGAGAAAUGAGCAAAUGGGCAAAUGUUUCCAAACUACUUGAAGGUUUCUAAAAAAUGUUGCAGAAAAUAAAAAUCUUAUUAAGAUAUGGAAAGAAAAUGUUUUUUAAAAACCUGUUAAAAGAGUUAUGUUUGAAUUUGACAAAAUUACAUAAGAUAGACACUUGUCAGUGUUUUCUUCAGGGUGGAAAUGAACCACUUAACAUACCCAUACUACCUUGAACAAUGACAUUGCAUUAAAGUAACCAAACUUUGAAAUGAUUCUGUUUCAUGUGAAAUUUGUGUGUCUCCUAUUGACAUUUGCUUGGGAGUUCAUAUCUAAAUAAUGUAAGAAAGUGUCAAUGGCUUGGAUUUCAAUCUUGCAACAAUGUAGUGAGCAGCUAGGUUAUACUCAUUUUUCUGCCCCUUUGCUCCCAACUUUCCUAACAAUAAGUACCUGAACAAAUACAGGAUAGGAAAAAUUAUUUUAAUUUGGAGGCUCGGGGUAGAAGACCCAGGCACAACUCUUGCAAACCAAAAGCAAUGAAUUUAUACACCUAAGAUUUUUUCCUAGGCCCGACACCAUGCUGAGAUUGUUUUAUUUUUGGAAACUGUCACAAAAUGUGACUUCCUAGGAUACACUGAGGCAGACCCCCUCCUUGCAUAGUGAAAGUGUCCUCAUCAAAAGGGCUGAGGAACUCCUACCUAAAUAGCCAGCCAGCUGAGUGUGGAGAAUUUGGCAGAUCACAAAUGAACGACCGUCUGUCAUCACUUGGAAACCCCUCUCCUAGUGCAGUUGGGAUCCACAAGCUACGAAUACUACCCUUGAGAUUUGGCUGCUUUAUACCCGAUGCCACAUUGCUUGUGAUGAAGUCCAUGGGCUGAUCUAAAAAAGGAAAGCCACUCACAGCAUUUGAGGGAAAUUAUUUCGUUUUCUCCAGGAUAAAACUGAAUUAACUGUCGAGGUGAUUCUGCUAUGGUACUUCUUUCUUGGCAGCAGAAGGUCAUUUUUCAGGAGUCUCCAGCCCUGACUCCUGCUCCUUCAUGGCGCCGAGGGACAAUUAAGCCACUCAAAGACAUCACCUUUGGCGAGUUCAGGAAGCCACCAAGACCCAAAGUUGAUCCAGGCACCUGGCACUCACUGAGAAACCAGAGGCGGAAGCAUGUCCUGCCCUGUGGACGUUUGACUCCAAGCCUAGCUCCACUUCUUGGAUUUCGAACCACUUACCCAUCUACAGUUACGGUGCUGAGCACUUGCCAUGUCCUGUGUUCAUUCAGUCCUCAACAUCAGCCUGUGAGCUAGACAACAUGCAUUUUGAAAGCCGGGACCAUUUUCCUUCAUCUGCACAAGGCUUGGUCCUGAGAAUCCUCUCAACGCAGCACUGCUGGAAGGCAUGAAGGAACCAACACAGGCUCAGCAGAUGAAAUCAAGCAGACUUUGCAUGAUUGAA
Molecule: long non-coding RNA, 2663 nt
Organism: Myotis myotis
Lineage: Eukaryota; Metazoa; Chordata; Mammalia; Chiroptera; Vespertilionidae
Exons: 3
Source: RefSeq, a predicted model, not a curated record